RNAcentral lists this long non-coding RNA (343 nucleotides) under Cucumis sativus (cucumber). RNAcentral's name for it is "long non-coding RNA (CSAT_LNC001869)". The record is from RNAcentral. Lineage: Eukaryota; Viridiplantae; Streptophyta; Magnoliopsida; Cucurbitales; Cucurbitaceae.
CAUCCCUAACCCAGAAGACAAAACCGCCAUGUCUCUCACUCGAGCCAAAGUCCUCGAAAACAAAGCCGACCUCGGUGUCGUCUUCGACACUGACGUUGACCGUAGUGGUGUGGUGGAUCACCAGGGCAACCCAAUCAAUGGUGACAAACUCAUCGCCCUAAUGUCCUCCAUCGUCCUUCGAGACCACCCUGCCACCACCAUCGUCACCGACGCCCGUACCAGUGUUGCUCUCACGAAGUUCAUUACCAGCCGAGGUGGACGACAUUGUCUGUACCGCGUCGGGUAUCGCAAUGUCAUUGACAAAGGAAUCCAACUCAACAUGGAUGGAAUCGAGACGCAUCUC